Molecule: non-coding RNA, 114 nt
Filed under: Alkaliphilus oremlandii OhILAs
Lineage: Bacteria; Bacillati; Bacillota; Clostridia; Peptostreptococcales; Natronincolaceae
Also listed under: 1 other name
Description: SAM riboswitch aptamer (S box leader)
Rfam family: SAM riboswitch aptamer (S box leader)
About the family: The SAM riboswitch is found upstream of a number of genes which code for proteins involved in methionine or cysteine biosynthesis in Gram-positive bacteria. The SAM riboswitch acts at the level of transcription termination control.
Source: Rfam by way of RNAcentral
CUUUUAUCGAGAGAGGUGGAGGGAAAGGCCCUAUGAAACCUCGGCAACCUGCAAACGUAUUUGUUUGAAAAGGUGCCAAUUCCUACUCUAAGUGAACUUAGAGAGAGAUAAGAG